AUUGAACGCUGGCGGCAUGCCUUACACAUGCAAGUCGAACGGCAGCACGGGAGCUUGCUCCUGGUGGCGAGUGGCGAACGGGUGAGUAAUAUAUCGGAACGUACCCUAGAGUGGGGAUAACGCAGCGAAAGUUGCGCUAAUACCGCAUACGAUCUACGGAUGAAAGUGGGGGAUCGCAAGACCUCAUGCUCAUGGAGCGGGCCGAUAUCUGAUUAGCUAGUUGGUGGGGUAAAGGCCUACCAAGGCUUCGAUCAGUAGCUGGUCUGAGAGGACGACCAGCCACACUGGAACUGAGACACGGUCCAGACUCCUACGGGAGGCAGCAGUGGGGAAUUUUUGGACAAUGGACGCAAGUCUGAUCCAGCCAUUCCGCGUGCAGGAUGAAGGCCCU
RNAcentral lists this ribosomal RNA (391 nucleotides) under uncultured bacterium. RNAcentral's name for it is "bacterial SSU rRNA". It matches the Rfam family "Bacterial small subunit ribosomal RNA", at positions 30 to 418 of the family's 1533-position model. The record is from RNAcentral.